Molecule: non-coding RNA, 70 nt
Organism: Caerostris darwini
Lineage: Eukaryota; Metazoa; Arthropoda; Arachnida; Araneae; Araneidae
Source: the annotation of a GenBank genome assembly
UCCGAAGUCAAGCAUCAUUGGGCGCGGUCAGUACUUGGGAGGGUGACCACCUGGGAACACCGCGUGCCGU